GAACUGCCCGUGGAAGAUCAUGGGUUAUAGGUGGACCAUCAUACUCCAUAGCAAAGCAGUAUUCUACUCCAUCAUCAACCACAGUUGGCGACAUAUUGAGAGGAAAAAUCAGAGCCCCCCUCAAAAAAUAUCAAUUUUUUUACUUAAAUACACAGCAACAGUAUAAAACAGAGAAAAAUGUCCAACUUGAGAGUGACCCCUCAAAAAAUAUCAAUUUUUUUUACUUAAAUACACAACAACAGUAUAAAACAGAGAAAAAUGUCCAACUUGAGAGUGAAGUCCCUCAACAACUAUCACUGACUAUUAUUUAUAGAACAAAUACAACAAUGGAACAGAGAGAGGCUGAGAUGGCUAGUAAAUAAAGAAGUAAAUAUGUAAUCUUGCUGAAACAGCCAAAUGCCCCCUUUUAAGAUUUGAAAAGUAAACCUAACCCAGAAAUACCAAACAGAAACUGAAGCUUGACAAAGAAAACUGAAAUCUCUCAACAAGUAUAACUAAUUGCUACUUAUUUACAGACCCAAAUAUGAAGUGGAAAGAGAGAAACUCAAAUGGGUUAAUUGAUGAAGACAAAAAAUACAAUCUUAUUGUAUCUGCUACAUGCCCCUUUCUAAGAUUUCAGAGAUCAACCAAACCCAGACUGGAGAUACUGAGUAGAAACUGAAGCUGACAAAGAAAAGUGGAAAUGAGAAAAGGAAUUUGAAGCAAAGGUAAAAAAGAAUCAGAAGGAGAAGACAAUAGGAAUGGUAUUAGGGAAAAUACAAAGCUUGGGAUGGAGGAAAAAUGUGUUGGAAAAGUAGAGAAAGUGGGGGAGGGGGUAAGUGGAGGAAAAAGACAACAAAAGGAGAGGUAUCCAAUAGUGGUGGACACUGUUCUGUAGUGGCAUCUUUUUUUUCUCUCUUUCUUUUACUUUUCGCCUUUUUUUUUCCUCUCUCUUUGUUUGAUGUUGUUGCCUUUGUUGAAACUUGGAAGAAAGGUUGCGUCUUCGGCUAGUGUGUCUGGGUUUGUCGAUCUAGUGCGUGUGAGAGAGAAGAGUAGAGUACUUACGCUUGUUUUGGAGUUUUGGAUGGAAUUGGGCCACUUGUCUUCUACCUCGUGAUUGGCAUAUAAACAUGUUUUGCUUUUAACGAUAAAUGGACUCAUCCUUCCAGAUUUUU
Molecule: long non-coding RNA, 1154 nt
Filed under: Nicotiana benthamiana
Lineage: Eukaryota; Viridiplantae; Streptophyta; Magnoliopsida; Solanales; Solanaceae
Description: long non-coding RNA (NBEN_LNC003237)
Source: RNAcentral